CCUACGGGAGGCAGCAGUGGGGAAUAUUGCGCAAUGGGCGAAAGCCUGACGCAGCGACGCCGCGUGAGGGAUGAAGGUCUUCGGAUCGUAAACCUCUGUCAGCAGGGAAGAACGGUCACUUUGCUAAUCAGCAGUGAAUUGACGGUACCUGCAAAGGCAGCACCGGCUAACUCCGUGCCAGCAGCCGCGGUAAUACGGAGGGUGCGAGCGUUAAUCGGAAUUACUGGGCGUAAAGCGCUCGUAGGCGGUAUGUCAAGUCAAGGGUGAAAUCCCCGCGCUCAACGUGGGAACUGCCUUUGAAACUGGCAAACUGGAGUGUGGGAGAGGAGAGUGGAAUUCCAGGUGUAGGAGUGAAAUCCGUAGAUAUCUGGAGGAACAUCAGUGGCGAAGGCGACUAUCUGGAACAUAACUGACGCUGAGGAGCGAAAGCGUGGGUAGCAAACAGGAUUAGAUACCCUUGUAGUC
Molecule: ribosomal RNA, 465 nt
Filed under: uncultured bacterium
Lineage: Bacteria
Description: partial 16S ribosomal RNA
Rfam family: Bacterial small subunit ribosomal RNA
Source: RNAcentral